GCUGGCGGCGUGCUUAACACAUGCAAGUCGAACGGUGAUGCCCAGCUUGCUGGGCGGAUCAGUGGCGAACGGGUGAGUAACACGUGAGUAACCUGCCCCAGACUCCGGGAUAAGCCUUGGAAACGAGGUCUAAUACUGGAUACGAGACGCCCCUGCAUGGGGAGUGUCUGGAAAGAUUUAUCGGUCUGGGAUGGACUCGCGGCCUAUCAGCUUGUUGGUGGGGUAAUGGCCUACCAAGGCGACGACGGGUAGCCGGCCUGAGAGGGCGACCGGCCACACUGGGACUGAGACACGGCCCAGACUCCUACGGGAGGCAGCAGUGGGGAAUAUUGCACAAUGGGCGAAAGCCUGAUGCAGCGACGCCGCGUGAGGGAUGAAGGCCUUCGGGUUGUAAACCUCUUUCAGCAGGGAAGAAGCGCAAGUGACGGUACCUGCAGAAGAAGCGCCGGCUAACUACGUGCCAGCAGCCGCGGUAAUACGUAGGGCGCAAGCGUUGUCCGGAAUUAUUGGGCGUAAAGAGCUCGUAGGCGGUUUGUCGCGUCUGGUGUGAAAACUCAAGGCUCAACCUUGAGCUUGCAUCGGGUACGGGCAGACUAGAGUGCGGUAGGGGUGACUGGAAUUCCUGGUGUAGCGGUGGAAUGCGCAGAUAUCAGGAGGAACACCGAUGGCGAAGGCAGGUCACUGGGCCGCAACUGACGCUGAGGAGCGAAAGCAUGGGGAGCGAACAGGAUUAGAUACCCUGGUAGUCCAUGCCGUAAACGUUGGGCACUAGGUGUGGGGCUCAUUCCACGAGUUCCGUGCCGCAGCAAACGCAUUAAGUGCCCCGCCUGGGGAGUACGGCCGCAAGGCUAAAACUCAAAGGAAUUGACGGGGGCCCGCACAAGCGGCGGAGCAUGCGGAUUAAUUCGAUGCAACGCGAAGAACCUUACCAAGGCUUGACAUACACCGGAAACUUCCAGAGAUG
Molecule: ribosomal RNA, 964 nt
Filed under: Oerskovia paurometabola
Lineage: Bacteria; Bacillati; Actinomycetota; Actinomycetes; Micrococcales; Cellulomonadaceae
Description: bacterial SSU rRNA
Rfam family: Bacterial small subunit ribosomal RNA
Source: RNAcentral